Non-coding RNA from Armillaria borealis, 82 nucleotides. Lineage: Eukaryota; Fungi; Basidiomycota; Agaricomycetes; Agaricales; Physalacriaceae. The record is from the annotation of a GenBank genome assembly.
GACCCCUUAGCUCAGUGGUAGAGCGUGUGAUUCCAGCUUUGGUGCGUCCACAAGGUCAAGCGUUCAACUCGCUUAGGAGUCA